UAGGGAACAGUGAGUAAUAGUGAGUAGGGAACAGUGAGUAAUAGUGAGGAACAGUGAGUAGGGAACAGUGAGUAGGGAACAGUGAGUAGGGAACAGUGAGUAAUAGUGAGUAGGGAACAGUGAGUAGGGAACAGUGAGUAAUAGUGAGUAGGGGACAGUGAGUGGGGAACAGUGAGUAGGGAACAGUGAGUAGGGAACAGUGAGUAGGGAACAGUGAGUAGGGAACAGUGAGUAAUAGUGAGUAGGGAACAGUGAGUAGGGAACAGUGAGUAGGGAACAGUGAGUAGGGAACAUGGAAUAUCGAGUAAGGAGUAGUGAGUAAGGAGGAGUAGGGAAUAGUGAAUAUUGUAUAGAGGAAGUAGAGAGUAGAGAAUAGGGAGUAGUGGAGAGGGCAUAUGGUACAGGAAGUAGGGGAUAGAGAGUAGUGAGUAGGGGAUCGGGAAUAGGGAAUAGAGGAUCGGGAA
Molecule: long non-coding RNA, 464 nt
Organism: Ictalurus punctatus (channel catfish)
Lineage: Eukaryota; Metazoa; Chordata; Actinopteri; Siluriformes; Ictaluridae
Source: Ensembl